UACGUAGGGGGCUAGCGUUGUCCGGAUUUAUUGGGCGUAAAGAGCGUGUAGGCGGCCAGAUAAGUCCGCUGUGAAAUCUCGAGGCUCAACUUCGAGCUGUCGGUGGAAACUGUCUGGCUAGAGUCCGGAAGAGGAGAAUGGAAUUCCUGGUGUAGCGGUGAAAUGCGCAGAUAUCAGGAAGAACACCCGUGGCGAAGGCGGUUCUCUGGGACGGUACUGACGCUGAGACGCGAAAGCGUGGGGAGCGAACAGG
Molecule: ribosomal RNA, 253 nt
Filed under: uncultured bacterium
Lineage: Bacteria
Description: partial 16S ribosomal RNA
Rfam family: Bacterial small subunit ribosomal RNA
Source: RNAcentral